ACACCUCAACCCUCGUGGCUUGCCAUGAUGGGCUUGGACUUUGGGGGUCUUGUUGGCCUUUUGGCCAGCUCCUCUCAAAUGAAUUAGCUUGCCAGUGUUUGGUGGCGUCACAGGUGUGAUAACUAUCUACGCUUGUGGUUUGCCACCAGGUAACCUUCAGCAAUGGAGGUUCACUGGAGCUUACAGACGUCUCUCCUCAGCGAGGACAGAUUUUGACC
RNAcentral lists this unclassified non-coding RNA (218 nucleotides) under uncultured Tomentella. Its description in RNAcentral is "sequence contains ITS2". The record is from RNAcentral. Lineage: Eukaryota; Fungi; Basidiomycota; Agaricomycetes; Thelephorales; Thelephoraceae.